AUUGAACGCUGGCGGCAUGCCUUACACAUGCAAGUCGAACGGUAACAGGUUAAGCUGCCGCGUGGCGAACGGGUGAGUCAUGUAUCGGAACGUGCCCAGUCGUGGGGUAUAACUGCUCGAAAGAGCAGCUAAUACCGCAUACGACCUGAGGGUGAAAGCGGGGGAUCGCAAGACCUCGCGCGAUUGGAGCGGCCGAUAUCAGAUUAGGUAGUUGGUGAGGUAAAGGCUCAGCAAGCCGACGAUCUGUAGCUGGUCUGAGAGGACGACCAGCCACACUGGGACUGAGACACGGCCCAGACUCCUACGGGAGGCAGCAGUGGGGAAUGUUGGACAAUGGGCGCAAGCCUGAUCCAGCCAUGCCGCGUGCGGGAAGAAGGCCUUCGGGUUGUAAACCGCUUUUGUCAGGGAAGAAAAGGUUCUGGCUAAUACCUGGGACUCAUGACGGUACCUGAAGAAUAAGCACCGGCUAACUACGUG
This 477-nucleotide ribosomal RNA is filed under the name uncultured bacterium. RNAcentral's name for it is "partial 16S ribosomal RNA". It matches the Rfam family "Bacterial small subunit ribosomal RNA", at positions 30 to 507 of the family's 1533-position model. The record is from RNAcentral.